GACAGAGGCCUCAAGCGUUAGGCGGAAUCACUGGGCUUAAAGCGUGUGUAGGCGGACGCCUAAGUGUCUUGUGAAAUCCCACGGCUCACCCGUGGAACUGCUGGGCAUACUGGGCGUCUUGGGCCAACUAGGGGCAGCCGGAACAAGCGGUGGAGCGGUGAAAUGCGUAGAUAUCGCUUGGAACGCCGAAGGUGAAAACAGGCUGCUGGGGUUGUGCCGACGCUGAGACACGAAAGCCAGGGGAGCAAACGGG
This 253-nucleotide ribosomal RNA is filed under the name uncultured bacterium. RNAcentral's name for it is "partial 16S ribosomal RNA". It matches the Rfam family "Bacterial small subunit ribosomal RNA", at positions 524 to 776 of the family's 1533-position model. The record is from RNAcentral.